Molecule: ribosomal RNA, 163 nt
Filed under: Oryza sativa Indica Group (long-grained rice)
Lineage: Eukaryota; Viridiplantae; Streptophyta; Magnoliopsida; Poales; Poaceae
Description: 5.8S ribosomal RNA
Rfam family: 5.8S ribosomal RNA
About the family: 5.8S ribosomal RNA (5.8S rRNA) is a component of the large subunit of the eukaryotic ribosome. It is transcribed by RNA polymerase I as part of the 45S precursor that also contains 18S and 28S rRNA. Functionally, it is thought that 5.8S rRNA may be involved in ribosome translocation.
Source: RNAcentral
CACACGACUCUCGGCAACGGAUAUCUCGGCUCUCGCAUCGAUGAAGAACGUAGCGAAAUGCGAUACCUGGUGUGAAUUGCAGAAUCCCGUGAACCAUCGAGUCUUUGAACGCAAGUUGCGCCCGAGGCCAUCCGGCCGAGGGCACGCCUGCCUGGGCGUCACG